UCAGUUACUUGCUUUUUUCCAGUUUUCACAUUCACAACUGUCGACAGUUCCUUGCAUGCCAAAGGCUCACUUAUAGAAACAAAUGCCGUCCUCGAAUCAGCCCUCCUUGACAGUUAACUUUAUCACAUCACAAUUCAUGAAAUGAGCAGCUGUGAACACAAUUUUGUCAGCACCAAUUGGAAACAUAACGCACACCAUCGGCUGCUGAUUGAGUGAUAUUACUUCCUUCUUCACAGAUCUACAAAUCUUCUACUUUACACUAACCUAGCAAGACAAUGUUAUUAACACUCCAUCAUAAUUCAUACUGAACUAAUUAACAUACUGAACAGUGAGAUUUGAAUUCCAAUAAUUGGUAUCAUUGAAGUAUGACUAUAAAACAUUAUUCAACCUUGUAUAACCACUAAUUUGAAAGUGGAAGAGAGGGACCAGUUCUAAGCACAACAUGAUAAUAAUAUGUUCUCUUCCUUAUUUAUCCAUUCCUAUUUCACCGCAACCUAGA
Molecule: long non-coding RNA, 499 nt
Organism: Bolinopsis microptera
Lineage: Eukaryota; Metazoa; Ctenophora; Tentaculata; Lobata; Bolinopsidae
Exons: 2
Source: RefSeq, a predicted model, not a curated record